Molecule: RNA transcript, 1579 nt
Organism: Malania oleifera
Lineage: Eukaryota; Viridiplantae; Streptophyta; Magnoliopsida; Santalales; Ximeniaceae
Exons: 8
Source: RefSeq, a predicted model, not a curated record
UUUUACAGGCAUUGAGAGAGAGAGAGAGAGAGAGAGAGAGAGAGAGAGAGAGAGCAGCGUGGUUAGUGCGAAGCCCUAAUCCUGUGAGAACGAAGACUGCGACAUUUCCAAUCACUUUUACAACGCACAGUGGCAGGAUGCUGGCGGCUGCAAUAACAGAAAGCGGGGCACUUCUCAAAAAAGCAAAGAAAAGGAAGAGGAGGCUGGUGGCUGCAAUAACAAAAAGCGACCUUCAGUGUCCACAUCUUCAUGCAGUAUCUUAUCGUGAAGGUUGUGCUGUUUACUUCUGGCCUGGAGGCUAAUUGCAUGAGCUAGUCAAAGAGUUCUUGAUUGGAAAACAAUUUCAAAAUUACAGCAGACAUAUUAUGAAAAUCCCAAUUCAAGAAUUAAGACCAAUGCGUGAUAGUCACAUCGCAGAAGUGACGGCAACUUCUCAAAAGUUGACUUCCAACUUUGCCAUCUCUAUGGAUAAUUACUUCAAUUCAAUUACUCUUCUGAGCUUUAACGCCAUUCAUGCUGGCAGGGAAAUUCUAUAUUAACUUCACAUCAGUGGGGAAAAAUCUCAUCUCUGAAGAAUCCGGGCUUGGAGUUAUUACUUCAAAACUGGCAGCUCAAGACAAUUGCUCUAGUGAUUUAAUUAGAGAGAGAAAGAGAAGGUAUUUCGCCGUCUGUAUGAUUAAUUUGCUGAAGAAGGGGAGGAGAUGACACACUGAGUGACCAUUCGGUACCUUUCUAUUUUCGGUUUUCAUUUUAUACAGUGAAGGUAUAGGUGAUGACAAUGGAUUUGUUUACAUUCGGUAGUUUUUUGCUUUUAUUGUUAGUUUUCAGUUGUGACAAAAACUAAAAAUUAGAUUUUAUGAUUUUUAAUUAUGGUGGUAAUUUGUUGUUAAAAUACUUUAAUAUUCAAAAUUUAUUUUUAAAUUAAAUUACUCCAUGCAUAAUUUUUUAAUAAAAAAUUACAAUAAAUUGAACAGCAACUAAAACAAAACAUUCAUAAAAUUUCAAAAAUUUAGAAAAAUUAAUAAAAGUAAUUUAAAAUUUAUUUUACCAAUGAUGAUUCUUGAAGUCCUAGAAGUGAGUUUAAAAAUAUAAAAGUAAAGUGAAAUAUUACAAUAACAAAGUAAAAUAUUGUAAAUCUCAAUGUUGGGUGUAUGAACCACCUCCUGCCACUUGUGAAAUCUUUGUCUACUAAUUUAAUUAUUAGGGUUUGGUUUAUGAAAUCGAAUUGUUGCAGGGUUAGUGGACCACCUUCCUUGAAAGAAGUCCUUGCUUUUUUGUUCCCCACAACUCUCCAAUUUCAUUUCAUGGGGCACCAAAGGGGCCAUUAAUGCUUGAUUAGCACAGGCAAAAUGGAAGCAAGUUCACUCCUGAGUUCUGACUUUGGAGGCUCUCCUCAUUGCAUGGGCAAGUCAGAGAGGAAAAGUACAGCAGACAGAAAUACACAUGACACAGCCCAAAUGGCUCCCUUGUGUUCCUAAUUAAUAUCAUUAUAGCUAUUGUAUUGCGUAUGAUUCUGAAUAAUCAGCACUCAAUCAUGUAUUUUUUUGACAUUUAAUAAAGAGAACGACAAGGGAUGUUG